ACACCGGCAGCUCAAGUGGUGGCCGUUUUUAUUGGGCCUAAAGCGUUCGUAGCCGGCCUGAUAAGUCUCUGGUGAAAUCCCGCAGCUUAACUGUGGGAAUUGCUGGAGAUACUAUCAGGCUUGAGGUCGGGAGAGGUUAGAGGUACUCCCAGGGUAGGGGUGAACUCCUAUAAUCCUGGGAGGACCACCUGUGGCGAAGGCGUCUAACUGGAACGAACCUGACGGUGAGUAACGAAAGCCAGGGGCGCGAACCGGAUUAGAUAGCCGGGUAGUCCUGGCCGUAAACGAUGUGGACUUGGUGUUGGGAUGGCCUCGAGCUGCCCCAGUGCCGAAGGGAAGCGGUUAAGUCCACCGCCUGGGAAGUACGGUCGCAAGACUGAA
Molecule: ribosomal RNA, 381 nt
Filed under: uncultured archaeon
Lineage: Archaea
Description: bacterial SSU rRNA
Rfam family: Archaeal small subunit ribosomal RNA
Source: RNAcentral